GUUCUUGGGCCAGCAGAUGCUUACACUUCCCAGCUGCCCCCAGCAUGGAGUCUAUCUGCACAUGCUGCAGUGAGCACAGCAGGAGCUCUGCACCUACUCUUCUUCUUGUCUCAGAGAAGGAAGUGGCCAGGUGGAGCAGCUUACUCCAGGACUACUUACAGAACUACUUUCGACCUAUGGGUGUCCUUCCAUACCCUUCACUAACAGGUUUUAGAUUGAUACUGUCGAGCUCAUGGCACUUAGUCCAGCAAGCAGACAUCGUAUCGCACUGGUCGCAAUACUUUGAGGUACGUAGCAGACCCUGGACCAAAUACUGGUGUGUUUGUGGCUUUGCAGGUGCAUUUCUUUGUGCACUGGUGAGAUGUGUAGCACAGCAGGCAGCAAAGCAGUUGGUUCUGACAGCUGUGCCUGUGUCCAUGCCCAUGCCUGUGCCCUGCUCACGUCCAAGCCCAUGUCCAAGCCCACGCUCGUGCCCAUGCCCUGCCAAUACCUGCUGGUGCUCAGCCCAGAUCAGCCCCACUCCAGAGCUGUGCCUGGGUUUGGCAUGGGCCAGGGGUGCCCUACAGCCUCCCUUGUGGGUGAGGCACCACUGCAAGGAACCUGGUUUGUGCACUCUGAGGCUGCAUCACAGUAUGAACCAUGGCACAGUAAACUGGGGUGAUCACCAAAUUUGCUUCCACAAAAGCACACUCCUGCUUCAAGCUCGAAGGCUGACUGUAAUGGCUCCUCAGCUUCAGCUACCCAUUUUAUUGGCUGAAAUUACCUGCAGGUGCAGAAGAAAUAGAACCCAGUUUUGAAGAACUGGCCCAGAGGUAAGCUUUGAUUGAAAUAUUUUAUUUGAAUUUUUAUUGGGUGAAUGUGUCAAAGGCUGGCCUCUGUGCAGAGAGCCAGGGCUGCUUUGAGCCAGACACAGACAGUUCCAGCCAGCUCAAACUAACCCACCACAGGGCACUGCUGAGCCCCACAGCCACGAUGGUGGCACCUCAGACUAAAUGUAUGUAAGAAAUGCCAGAAAGUGCCACGCAGAGAUGGGACAAGAGAACAAAAUAGUGAGAAACAGGAGACGCAAGGUCACAGAAUGAGGACGAGGAGGAGGUACUACCUGACACUGGACCAGGCAUCCGCUGCAGCCCAUGGAGGACACAAUGCCAUAGUACAUGGUUAUUCUCAAAGGAGCUGUCACCAUGGAGAGUCCACACUGGAGCGAGGAAAAGAUGUGAGAAGGAGGAAGCAGCAGAGAGAAACUGCUGUCUUCUCACUGUGACCCCCAUGGUAUCACCCACACCACUCAGGUGGUGGACAGGAGUCUGGAGAGAAGGAGUUACGGUGACCCUGGGGAAAGGAGGAGAAGUGUUGUUUUAAUGUUUGUCUUGUUAACCAGUACCUGUAUAAGGAAUUAAAUACUUAUUUUAAUUGACAAUAAAUUAAUUUUCCCCAGUUUGAGAUAAGCA
RNAcentral lists this long non-coding RNA (1451 nucleotides) under Calidris pugnax (ruff). Its description in RNAcentral is "lncRNA (ENSCPUG00000003743.1)". Lineage: Eukaryota; Metazoa; Chordata; Aves; Charadriiformes; Scolopacidae. The record is from RNAcentral.